AAACGGAAGCAAGCAACUCUAUGGGUCAAUGCUGCGUUGGCUACCAAUCUGUCAUCAUUCUCAGUGUAUAGCAAAAAAGCAACUUCAUCUCCAAUUGCCCCUUCAGCUCCCUCGCCAAGCCCAAAGACUAUCGCUCUCAAUCAACCUAUGCUAGUCCUUGAUAACUCAACCAAAAGUACUCUUGCAAAACCUCAAGCCAAACCCCGCCCGACAAUGAGUUCUAAGAUUCAGUCAUCAGGAUCUCAACGGCGCUUAGCAGAUGGGAUAGCUGCUAAUCAAAAGCCAAAAUCUCCUCCUCCAGCGGAUUGGGUCAGAGGAGACGGUCUUGAAGAGGCUGUUGACUUAGCCGAGAUGUUACGAGUAGCGUCCCAAGACUGGUUCUUAGGAUUUGUAGAAAGGUUCUUGGAUGCUGAUGUUGAUGCCUCAGCUUUAUCAGAUAAUGGUCAAAUAGCCGGCAUGUUAUCCCAGCUGAAGAGUGUGAACGACUGGUUAGAUGAGAUCUCCUCUAGCAAGGAUGAUGAAAGUCCCCAAAUUGCUUCUGAGACCAUCGAUAGGAUAAGAAAAAAGAUCUAUGAAUAUCUUCUCACUCAUGUGGAGUCUGCUGCAGCAGCUCUUGGUGGUGGCAGUGGCGGUAGCUCACAAGUGCCACCUACAAUAGAAACCAAAACGAGAAAAUGAGUUCUAUUGCAUAAUGCAUACUACUAGCAACUCACCUUUCAUAUUUGAAGCAUGCUCCAAUAGUCCUUCAACCGCCAAGUGGUUAAAAGAGCUGAAAGUUUUAGGAUGUGUAUAGAUUCUAAAAUUGGUCGAGGUAGAGUAGUUUAGUAUAUAUAUUGUGCAGACAGGGAGUUACAUGAAGUUCAAGAUUUCCUUUUUUCUUUACCUGGAAACUUUUUCUCAUAAAUUAUGACUAGCUCAAAGUCGUGAGUAUAUACUUAUGUGAGUUCUGGAGAAAAGGGAACAUGUCCUUUCUCCUUACCUUGAACGAGUAACAAUGAACUUGUUACUGAAAUUAACCUUAUAGUUUGAUUGAUGACGUUAUGCA
Molecule: unclassified non-coding RNA, 1045 nt
Filed under: Hevea brasiliensis (rubber tree)
Lineage: Eukaryota; Viridiplantae; Streptophyta; Magnoliopsida; Malpighiales; Euphorbiaceae
Source: RNAcentral